UUGUGUUAGCAACAAGGCUGUUUAUUUCACCUGGGUGCAGGCGGGCUGAGUCCGAAAAGAGAGUCAGCCAAGGGAGAUAAAGGUGGGGCUGUUUUAUAGGAUUUGGGUAGAUAAAGGAAAAUUACAGUCAAAGGGGGCUGUUCUCUGGCGGGCAGGAGUGGGGGUCACAAUGUACUCAGUGGGGGAGCUUUUGAGCCAGGAUGAGCCAGGAGAAGGAAUUUCACAAGACAAUGUCAUCAGUUAAGGCACGAACAGGCCAUUUUCACUUCUUUUGUGGUGGAAUGUCAUCAGUUAAGGCAGGAACCAGCCAUCUGGAUGUGUACGUGCAGAUCACAGGGGAUAUGAUGGCUUAGCUUGAGCUCAGAGGCCUGACAAUUGGGUUUGACCAACUCUAUCCAACUUGAUCAAAUCUGAAGGAAAGUUCCACAUUACGGGGAACAAGACCUCUGAAUUGGCUAAAUUCCACAGCUGGAAAAAAAAAAAAAAAAAGCAGGGAGAAGGAAAAACAGUCCAGCAAAAGGGGAUAAAAGAGAAAGGUUCUUGAUUUUGACUACCCUGAGGGCUUUAUUUACAUAAUAAGGCCAGUUUUUGUUAGCCAAGCCAAACUGAAAGAGUAAUGGCUGUCGCCCCAUGCAGCAGUUCCAUAGCUAAGCUUCUGCCCCCACUUUUUUUUCAUCAAGACAGUCUGGGUUUGGUUUCUAAAGCCCUUUCUGGUUUGAUAUUUGUGUUACUUUUGAAAUAUCAGCAAUUUAUCCUAGUUAAAAUAUGGUAAUGAGAUUAAAAAGGUUUUUUUUUAAAUGGAGCUCAAUGGUUAAAAGUCAGUUUAAUUAAAAGCUAAUAUCCAAGAUGAUGAUGAUGAUGAUGAUG
RNAcentral lists this long non-coding RNA (867 nucleotides) under Homo sapiens (human). Its description in RNAcentral is "HSALNT0406979". The record is from RNAcentral. Lineage: Eukaryota; Metazoa; Chordata; Mammalia; Primates; Hominidae.